CGGCCCAAGUCCCUACAUCAAGGCUCACCUGCAAGGUUAAGGAAAGGGGGUGAGUUUGGAAACUCAGUGUGCAACAAGCCCCUUUCAGAGCCCAAAACAAUAACAGCAUGUUGGGCCUAAGCCCAAAUCCAAUCUCAACAUGUAUUGGGCUGUAGCCCUUUUCAUAAUUCAUAUUUCAUAACACUGGGCUGAAGCCUUUUCAUAUUUCAUAUUACUGGGCCAAAGCCUUUACUGUAA
RNAcentral lists this long non-coding RNA (237 nucleotides) under Gossypium barbadense (sea-island cotton). RNAcentral describes it as "long non-coding RNA (GBAR_LNC009255)". Lineage: Eukaryota; Viridiplantae; Streptophyta; Magnoliopsida; Malvales; Malvaceae. The record is from RNAcentral.